This 552-nucleotide ribosomal RNA is filed under the name uncultured Rhizophagus. Its description in RNAcentral is "SSU rRNA". It matches the Rfam family "Eukaryotic small subunit ribosomal RNA", at positions 548 to 1096 of the family's 1831-position model. Lineage: Eukaryota; Fungi; Glomeromycota; Glomeromycetes; Glomerales; Glomeraceae. The record is from RNAcentral.
UUGGAGGGCAAGUCUGGUGCCAGCAGCCGCGGUAAUUCCAGCUCCAAUAGCGUAUAUUAAAGUUGUUGCAGUUAAAAAGCUCGUAGUUGAAUUUCGGGGUCAGUAGGUUGGUCAUGCCACUGGUAUGUACUGGUCUCACUGAUUCCUCCUUCCUGAUGAACUGUAAUGCCAUUAAUUUGGUGUUGCAGGGAAUCUGGACUGUUACUUUGAAAAAAUUAGAGUGUUUAAAGCAGGCUAACGCCUGAAUACAUUAGCAUGGAAUAAUGAAAUAGGACGUUCGAUCCUAUUUUGUUGGUUUCUAGGAUCGACGUAAUGAUUAAUAGGGAUAGUUGGGGGCAUUAGUAUUCAAUUGUCAGAGGUGAAAUUCUUUGAUUUAUUGAAGACUAACUACUGCGAAAGCAUUUGCCAAGGAUGUUUUCAUUAAUCAAGGACGAAAGUUAGGGGAUCGAAGACGAUCAGAUACCGUCGUGGUCUUAACCAUAAACUAUGCCGACUAGGGAUCGGACGAAGUUAAUUUUAUAAUGACGCGUUCGGCGCCUUAAAGACUGGGAA